GCAAGAGAGGGAGAAGAGAGAGAAAACGCGCGCACAGUGGGCAGCGGCUUUCCGGCGCGAUUCCGGCUUCGUCCGACGUCCAAUCGAGGCGAUUCUGGUGGCGUUAGAAAGCUUGUUCCGAGAGCUUUCUUUUGACACCAAUUUUGAAGCAAAUGGAGGUCGGAUGAGUGAGAUAUGGAGGAGAGAAGUUUCGGGUUUUUCAAGCUUUUUCAUCAGAUCUACGACGAUCUGACCGUUAGAUCGACGAUCCGAGACCACAUAUGGACUGAGGAAGAGGAGAGGAACAUGGUGGUAUGAUCAGAUCCGGCAAAUGUCACCGGCGACCGGCAGCCGGCCACCGUGCACGGUGGUUCCGGCGGUGGCUCCGGUGGGCUAUGGAGAUAAUUCAACUUCCAGAGGCUUCCUCAUAAAUUUUUGAAAUUUUUGAGACACAGAUAAACUUCGGGUGAUCGAGGUCAGCUAUUUUCCUGCAUCCAGCAGCCACAAUAGUCAUUGGUGUACUGCUACAGGAGGAGACAUUUUUUUGAAUAACCUGUCCCUUUUCUCUCAGGUUAUGAAAAGAUUACUUAAUUGUAUUAUUAUUCUCUAAAUUUGUAAUUUAGGACUCCGCAUGUACUAAUAGUAGCAUUAAGCCUGUCAGGGACUGUAUGAAUUCAAGUUUUCGUAUUAAUAAAUGAAAAGAAAAAAAAAAUUUAUGAGUUUUAAAUGGUUAUAAAUGAGGUAACAGGGUUGAGCUGGGCUCCCCAAAUUUUUGUUUCUGAUAAUUUCUGGGCUAAGUUGGCCCGAAAUAUGAGUAUAACAGUUUAAUUUAAAUUAUUUUAUGUGCAUAUUGGGCCUAAAUUGUGGGCCUGGUUA
This is a long non-coding RNA of Hevea brasiliensis (rubber tree), 855 nucleotides long. RefSeq lists it as uncharacterized. The record is from RefSeq and is a predicted model, not a curated record. The transcript has 3 exons. NCBI's taxonomy places the organism in Eukaryota, Viridiplantae, Streptophyta, Magnoliopsida, Malpighiales, Euphorbiaceae.